UGCGGGGUGGAGCAGCUGGAAGCUCGUCGGGCUCAUAACCCGAAGGUCAUGUGGUUCAAAUCCCAUCCCCGCAUCCA
This 77-nucleotide transfer RNA is filed under the name Christensenellaceae bacterium. RNAcentral describes it as "tRNA-Met". It matches the Rfam family "tRNA". From Rfam's summary of the family: Transfer RNA (tRNA) molecules are approximately 80 nucleotides in length. Their secondary structure includes four short double-helical elements and three loops (D, anti-codon, and T loops). Further hydrogen bonds mediate the characteristic L-shaped molecular structure. tRNAs have two regions of fundamental functional importance: the anti-codon, which is responsible for specific mRNA codon recognition, and the 3' end, to which the tRNAs corresponding amino acid is attached (by aminoacyl-tRNA synthetases). tRNAs cope with the degeneracy of the genetic code in two manners: having more than one tRNA (with a specific anti-codon) for a particular amino acid; and 'wobble' base-pairing, i.e. permitting non-standard base-pairing at the 3rd anti-codon position. Lineage: Bacteria; Bacillati; Bacillota; Clostridia; Christensenellales; Christensenellaceae. The record is from RNAcentral.